UACGUAGGGUGCGAGCGUUACUCGGAAUUACUGGGCGUAAAGCGUGCGCAGGCGGUCCGUUGUGUCCGACGUGAAAGCCCCGGGCUUAACCUGGGAAUGGCAUGGGAAACUGGCGGGCUGGAGUGUGGCAGAGGGGGGUGGAAUUCCGCGUGUAGCAGUGAAAUGCGUAGAGAUGCGGAGGAACACCGAUGGCGAAGGCAGCCCCCUGGGCCAACACUGACGCUCAGGCACGAAAGCGUGGGGAGCAAACAGG
RNAcentral lists this ribosomal RNA (253 nucleotides) under uncultured bacterium. RNAcentral's name for it is "partial 16S ribosomal RNA". It matches the Rfam family "Bacterial small subunit ribosomal RNA", at positions 524 to 776 of the family's 1533-position model. The record is from RNAcentral.